AUGGAGCUGGUAGGGGAGCGAAAGAAGACAGGAUAUGGAAGGGAGACCUGCCUCAGAAUGUGGAAUAGUGGAAGUUAUCUAGAGAAGAGUCAAAGGUUCUACUUCACACUUAGCAGACUGGCCAAUAUGACAGCAAAGGAAAAUAAUAAAUGUUGGAGGGAAUGCGGCAAAAUUGGAACACAUACAUUGCUGGUGGAGUUGUGAACUGAUCCAACCAUCCUGGAAGGCAAUUUGGAACUGUGCCCAAAGGACUUUAAAAGACUGCAUGCCCUUUGAUCAGCAAUACCUCUACGAGGCUUAUAUCCCAAAGAGAUAAUAAAGAAAAAUGUUUGUGCA
This 336-nucleotide long non-coding RNA is filed under the name Monodelphis domestica (gray short-tailed opossum). Its description in RNAcentral is "lncRNA (ENSMODG00000046075.1)". The record is from RNAcentral. Lineage: Eukaryota; Metazoa; Chordata; Mammalia; Didelphimorphia; Didelphidae.